GACGAGCGCUGGCGGCGUGCUUAACACAUGCAAGUCGAACGGAAAGGCCCUGCUUUUGUGGGGUACUCGAGUGGCGAACGGGUGAGUAACACGUGAGUAACCUGCCCUUGACUUUGGGAUAACUUCAGGAAACUGGGGCUAAUACCGGAUAGGAGCUCCUGCUGCAUGGUGGGGGUUGGAAAGUUUCGGCGGUUGGGGAUGGACUCGCGGCUUAUCAGCUUGUUGGUGGGGUAGUGGCUUACCAAGGCUUUGACGGGUAGCCGGCCUGAGAGGGUGACCGGCCACAUUGGGACUGAGAUACGGCCCAGACUCCUACGGGAGGCAGCAGUGGGGAAUAUUGCACAAUGGGCGGAAGCCUGAUGCAGCAACGCCGCGUGCGGGAUGACGGCCUUCGGGUUGUAAACCGCUUUCGCCUGUGACGAAGCGUGAGUGACGGUAAUGGGUAAAGAAGCACCGGCUAACUACGUG
RNAcentral lists this ribosomal RNA (468 nucleotides) under uncultured bacterium. Its description in RNAcentral is "partial 16S ribosomal RNA". It matches the Rfam family "Bacterial small subunit ribosomal RNA", at positions 28 to 507 of the family's 1533-position model. The record is from RNAcentral.